This 467-nucleotide ribosomal RNA is filed under the name uncultured bacterium. RNAcentral's name for it is "bacterial SSU rRNA". It matches the Rfam family "Bacterial small subunit ribosomal RNA", at positions 330 to 793 of the family's 1533-position model. The record is from RNAcentral.
UCCAGACUCCUACGGGAGGCAGCAGUGAGGAAUAUUGGUCAAUGGGCGAGAGCCUGAACCAGCCAAGUCGCGUGAAGGAUGACGGCCCUACGGGUUGUAAACUUCUUUUGUCAGGGAGCAAUUGGGUCCACGCGUGGGCUUAGCGAGAGUACCUGAAGAAAAAGCAUCGGCUAACUCCGUGCCAGCAGCCGCGGUAAUACGGAGGAUGCGAGCGUUAUCCGGAUUUAUUGGGUUUAAAGGGUGCGUAGGUGGUUAAUUAAGUCAGCGGUGAAAGUUUGUGGCUCAACCAUAAAAUUGCCGUUGAAACUGGUUGACUUGAGUAUAUUUGAGGUAGGCGGAAUGCGUGGUGUAGCGGUGAAAUGCAUAGAUAUCACGCAGAACUCCGAUUGCGAAGGCAGCUUACUAAACUAUAACUGACACUGAAGCACGAAAGCGUGGGGAUCAAACAGGAUUAGAUACCCUUGUAC